Molecule: ribosomal RNA, 1068 nt
Filed under: Triticum aestivum (bread wheat)
Lineage: Eukaryota; Viridiplantae; Streptophyta; Magnoliopsida; Poales; Poaceae
Description: partial small subunit ribosomal RNA
Source: RNAcentral
AUGCUCUCAAAACAGACAUGGAGAUUGCUAAAUAAUCCUGACUCACUUUGUGCUCAAGUUUUGAGAGCGAAAUAUUAUCCCGAUGGGAAAUUACUGAAUGCGGGUCCAAAAAAAGGCUCUUCUUACACCUGGCAGAGCAUUUUUGCAGGACUACAAACUUUUAAGCGUGGACACAUUUGGAGAGUUGGCUCAGGAGAAAAAAUUAACAUUUGGGAGGAUCAUUGGAUCCCAAAUAGUCAUUCCAGGAAAGUUUUUACCAGGAGGGGAAACUGUAUUUUGCAUACUGUUGAUGAGUUGAUUGAUCAACAUAAUGUUAGCUGGGACGAACAACUUAUCAGAGAUAUUUUCUUACCCAUUGAUGCGAACAAUAUUCUUGCAAUCCCGUUGAGUCCACACCUACAGGAAGAUUUUGUGGCAUGGCAUAAGACAAAAAGCUUUUUGUUCUCUGUCCGUUCUGCCUAUCACAUUGAAUGGGAUCAUCAGUUCGGCGCACGAACUAGAAGAGAAGAUGGGCAAGGCUCUGCUGAACCGAACCCAGUGUGGGACAUUUUAUGGAAGCUAAAAAUUCCAAGUAAGAUUAACGUGUUUCUGUGGAAGGCUCUGCAUGGUACAGUUCCAGGCAUGGCGAUUCUUGCUUCGCGACACAUACCCGUCUCACCACAAUGCCCUAUUUGUCGGUCAGGUCCGGAGAAUAUUCGGCACUUGUUAUUUACAUGCACUUGUGCACGGAAGGUUUGGUCUGCGCUCGGCCUCCUGGAUAUCAUUGAUGGUGCACUGAUUGCAGGCAUGUCAGGAUCAGUAGUACUUGAGCAUAUUAUUUGCAACCCAAACAGGAAGUCGCCGGUCCUAGGUAUGUUAGGAUUGCAGGAGUCAGUAGCCGUUGCGUGUUGGUAUGUAUGGUGGCAAAGGAGGAAAGCAGCGAAGGGCGAAACUGUAGCGGAUCCCCCCCGGACAGCCUUUGCGAUUCAGGCUCUAACAUCAAAUUUUGGAGUUGUUUCCCAUUUCAGUAAACCACGUGAAAUAACGUGGUUGGGUCUCCUUUGUGAUCCUCUGUCCAUAUAUUAUUGA